GGACUACACGGGUUUCUAAUCCUGUUUGCUCCCCACGCUUUCGUGCCUGAACGUCGGUGCUGGACCAGGAAGCCGCUUUCGCCACUGGUGUUCCUUCAGAUAUCUACGCAUUUCACCGCUACACCUGAAAUUCCGCUUCCCUCUUCCGCACCCUAGCCUCGCAGUCUCGAAUGCAAUUCCCAGGUUGAGCCCGGGGCUUUCACACCCGACUUACCAGACCGUCUACGCACGCUUUACGCCCAGUAAUUCCGAUUAACGCUUGCACCCUCUGUAUUACCGCGGCGGCUGGCAC
RNAcentral lists this ribosomal RNA (292 nucleotides) under uncultured bacterium. RNAcentral describes it as "partial 16S ribosomal RNA". The record is from RNAcentral. RNAcentral also lists the same sequence under 1 other name.